GACGAACGCUGGCGGCGUGCUUAACACAUGCAAGUCGAACGGAAAGGCCCUGCUUUUGUGGGGUGCUCGAGUGGCGAACGGGUGAGUAACACGUGAGUAACCUGCCCUUGACUUUGGGAUAACUUCAGGAAACUGGGGCUAAUACCGGAUAGGAGCUCCUGCUGCAUGGUGGGGGUUGGAAAGUUUCGGCGGUUGGGGAUGGACUCGCGGCUUAUCAGCUUGUUGGUGGGGUAGUGGCUUACCAAGGCUUUGACGGGUAGCCGGCCUGAGAGGGUGACCGGGCACAUUGGGACUGAGAUACGGCCCAGAGUCCUACGGGAGGCAGAAGUGGGGAAUAUUGCACAAUGGGCGGAAGCCUGAUGCAGCAACGCCGCGUGCGGGAUGACGGCCUUCGGGUUGUAAACCGCUUUCGCCUGUGACGAAGCGUGAGUGACGGUAAUGGGUAAAGAAGCACCGGCUAACUACGUG
RNAcentral lists this ribosomal RNA (468 nucleotides) under uncultured bacterium. RNAcentral describes it as "partial 16S ribosomal RNA". It matches the Rfam family "Bacterial small subunit ribosomal RNA", at positions 28 to 507 of the family's 1533-position model. The record is from RNAcentral.